GACGAACGCUGGCGGCGUGGAUUAGGCAUGCAAGUCGAACGGUAGGAUCCUUUCGGGGAUCUGAGAGUGGCGAACGGGUGAGUAACACGUAGGUGAUCUACCCUCAAGACGGGGACAACCCAGGGAAACUUGGGCUAAUACCGGAUGUGAGCUAUCGCGAGAUAGUUUGAAAGGUGGCUUCGGCUGCCGCUUGAGGAUGAGCCUGCGUCCUAUUAGCUAGUUGGUGAGGUAACGGCUCACCGAGGCAGUGAUAGGUAGGCGGCCUUAACGGGUGGUCGCCCACACUGGGAUUGAGAUACGGCCCAGACUCCUACGGGAGGCAGCAGUCGAGAAUAGUCUACAAUGGUCGAAAGACUGAUAGUGCGACGCCGCGUGAACGAAGAAGCCCUUCGGGGUGUAAAGUUCUUUUAUAUGUGAGCAGUGACACCCAUAUUAAUAGUAUGGGUGUAGAGAUAUUAGCAUAUGAAUAAGCAACGGCUAACUCCGUG
Molecule: ribosomal RNA, 488 nt
Filed under: uncultured bacterium
Lineage: Bacteria
Description: bacterial SSU rRNA
Rfam family: Bacterial small subunit ribosomal RNA
Source: RNAcentral